This 292-nucleotide ribosomal RNA is filed under the name uncultured bacterium. RNAcentral's name for it is "partial 16S ribosomal RNA". It matches the Rfam family "Bacterial small subunit ribosomal RNA", at positions 505 to 796 of the family's 1533-position model. The record is from RNAcentral.
GUGUCAGCAGCCGCGGUAAUACGGAGGGUGCAAGCGUUAUCCGGAUUCACUGGGUUUAAAGGGUGCGUAGGCGGCUUGAUAAGUCAGUGGUGAAAGCUCGCAGCUUAACUGUGAAACUGCCAUUGAAACUGUCUGGCUUGAGUACAAUUGAAGUGGGCGGAAUACAUCAUGUAGCGGUGAAAUGCUUAGAUAUGAUGUAGAACACCGAUUGCGAAGGCAGCUCACUAAAUUGCAACUGACGAUGAGGCACGAAAGCGUGGGUAGCGAACAGGAUUAGAUACCCCUGUAGUCC